Molecule: ribosomal RNA, 503 nt
Filed under: uncultured bacterium
Lineage: Bacteria
Description: bacterial SSU rRNA
Rfam family: Bacterial small subunit ribosomal RNA
Source: RNAcentral
AACGAACGUUGGCGGCGUGGAUUAGGCAUGCAAGUCGAGCGAGAAAGCUACCUUCGGGUGGUGAGUAAAGCGGCGAACGGGUGAGUAACGCGUGGGAAACCUGCCCUCGAGUGGGGGAUAACAUUCCUAACGGAGUGCUAAUACCGCAUAACAUGACCGAACCGCAUGAUUUGGUCAUCAAAGGUGGCCUCUGUUUCAAGCUGUCGCUUGAGGAUGGUCCCGCGUCCGAUUAGCUUGUUGGUGGGUAACGGCUCACCAAGGCGACGAUUGGUAGCUGGUCUGAGAGGAUGGUCAGCCACACUGGGACUGAGAUACGGCCCAGACUCCUACGGGAGGCAGCAGUCGAGAGGCUUCGGCAAUGGGGGAAACCCUGACCGAGCGACGCCGCGUGGAGGACGAAGGCCCUCGGGUCGUAAACUCCUUUCAGUAGGGACGAACUCUUGUCGGGCUAAUACCCCGGCAACUUGACGGUACCUACAGAAGAAGCGCCGGCUAACUCCGUG